This 1618-nucleotide long non-coding RNA is filed under the name Pan troglodytes (chimpanzee). RNAcentral describes it as "long non-coding RNA NONPTRT012459". Lineage: Eukaryota; Metazoa; Chordata; Mammalia; Primates; Hominidae. The record is from RNAcentral.
CCUCUGGGAGUGGCUGCCAGGUGAUGCUGUGAACCCUCCCCAAGGGAGGUACCAAAAGCCUGCAUGAAGCAAAAACUGGAAACAAAUAAAGGAGAGUAUUGUGACUUUGCACUAAGUUACUCAUUUAUUCACAUAAUUAAUGAGUUUCUAUUAGUGUUAGGCACCGUUCUAGAUGAUGGUAUAAUUAGUUAACAGAAACCUCAUAACUCUCGCCCCCCAUGGAGCUUACAUUUCCAGGGAGGGAGAGAGAUGAUACAACAAUAAGAAAAUACAGAGCUAAUGUCAUUCUAUAUUGUAUAAUUAUGUAAAAUCAAGCCUGAGUAUUUGACAGCUUCUCAGAUACCACAGAUCUGUUGUUUAAUGAAAUCAGCCUAAAAGAUAAAAUUGUGUAUUUGCAUGUACACAUCACCUUGCCUGUAUUAUGAGUCAGCGUUUCUUCUUAUAAGAAACCACAGCUUGGUAAAAGGUAGAAGCUCAAUUUCCUAAUAAAGAGAUAUGUUUUACUAGGCAGGCUGUUGCACUGCAUAUUACUCUCUCUGACCUUGGCUUUAGUCCAAGGAGGAUUAAACCCAGAAAGAGAAGGGAGUAAAGCAAGGUGUAGCAGAAAAGCAAAACAAAACAAUACAAAAUAACCUCAAAGAAAUUAGUAAAAAUAAUUAGUGCAUUCAGAGAUUAUAUCUUUCUUUCUUUUUUUCCUUUUUUUUUUUCUUUCGAGACGGAGUUUUGCUCUUGUUGCCCAGGCUGGAGUGCAACGGCGCGAUCUCAGCUCACCGCAACCUCCACCUCCCCGGUUCAAGCGACUCUCCUGCCUCAGCCUCCCGAGUAGUUGGGAUUACAGGUGUGUGCCACCACGCCAGGCUAAUUUUGUAUUUUUAGUAGAGACAGGGUUUCUUCAUGUUGGUUAGGCUAGGCUCAAACUCCUGACCUCAGUUGAUCCGCCCGCCUCAGCCUCCCAAAGUGCUGGGAUUACAGACGUUAGCCACCGUGCCCAGCUGAGAUUACAUCUUUUUGAAAGCUAAAUAUAUAUAUAUAACACUGAGUGAAGGAGUUAUGUUUUCAGGUAAGGGCUACUGUUCUUGACAAUCCAUCAUCCAUCCAUCCAUCCAUCCAUCUGUGUAUUCUGGAAGGAGUGAGGAACUCAUGCAAAGACAUAAACAAGUUUACUCUCCAUAGCAAAGAGUUGCCCUGAUACAUGAUUGCUUGCAAACUUAUAUUCAAGUCCUGUGGUGUUUAUUCUGUAGGCUUUGCCAAUAUAGCUGAAUCUUAGGAAAAGACAAACCAAAACAAAAUUGUAACAUAAGCCAUAUUUGUCUUCAGUCCAGCCUUUUUUUCUGUUACUGCACAUUUCCAUACCUUUGCAUUUUCUUUGUAACCCAUAGGCUUGAGUGUUCAGUUUCUUAAAGUGGCUAGAUGUCCCUGUCCACAAUAGACAAAGUCACACCAAAAUCCUAAAAAGAGAAAAUUUGCUUCCCAUCAAAGGCCUGACAUACUUUUGCCAUGAAUGAUAUAGAAAGAUUCUAUAAUAGAUUAAAGGAAGCUCUGGGAAAUUUGUUUUAAAUACAAUCAGUCUUACAUGGACAUAUAUCUUUAAAAUCGACUGCUUGACAUUUUUUCCUUA